This 529-nucleotide ribosomal RNA is filed under the name uncultured bacterium. RNAcentral describes it as "bacterial SSU rRNA". It matches the Rfam family "Bacterial small subunit ribosomal RNA", at positions 18 to 518 of the family's 1533-position model. The record is from RNAcentral.
CCUGGCUUAGGACGAACGCUGGCGGCGUGCCUAAUACAUGCAAGUCGAACGGUCUUUUCUAUGGAAGCUUGCUUCCACUGAGAAGAUAGUGGCGAACGGGUGAGUAACACGUGGGUAACCUGCCCAUAAGAGGGGGAUAACAUCCGGAAACGGGUGCUUAUACCGCAUAGUUUUCUUGAUCGCAUGAUCGGGAAAGGAAAGACGGCCUUUGUGCUGUCGCUUAUGGAUGGACCCGCGGCGUAUUAGUUAGUUGGUGAGGUAACGGCUCACCAAGACGAUGAUACGUAGCCGACCUGAGAGGGUGAUCGGCCACAUUGGGACUGAGACACGGCCCAAACUCCUACGGGAGGCAGCAGUAGGGAAUCUUCCGCAAUGGACGAAAGUCUGACGGAGCAACGCCGCGUGAGUGAAGAAGGUUUUUCCGGAUCGUAAAACUCUGUUGUCAGAGAAGAACAAGUUGGAGAGUAACUGCUCCAGCCUUGACGGUAUCUGACCAGAAAGCCACGGCUAACUACGUGCCAGCAGCAGC